GGCGAACGCUGGCGGCGUGCUUAACACAUGCAAGUCGAACGGCCAGGCCCUGCUUUUGGGGUGUGCUCGAGUGGCGAACGGGUGCGUAACCCGUGAGUAACCCGCACUAGACUUUGGGAUAACUUCACGACACUGGGGCUAAUACCGUAUAGGAGCUCUUCAUCCGUGGGGGGGGUUGGCAAUUUCCGGCGGUUGGGGGUGGACUCGCGGCUUAUCAGUUUGUUGGUGGGGUAGUGGCCUACCAAGGCUUUGUCGGGUAGCCGGCCUGAGAGGGUGACCGGCCACAUGGGGACUGAGGUACGGCCCGGACAGCAACGGGGGGCAGCGGUGGGAAAUUUUGCACAAUGGGCGGAAGCCUAGCGCAAGACCGCCGCGUGCGGAAUAACGGCUUUCGGGUUGUAAACCGCUUUCGCCUGUGACGAAGCGUUGGUGACGGUAAUGGGUCAAGAAGCACGGGCUAACUACGUG
This 468-nucleotide ribosomal RNA is filed under the name uncultured bacterium. RNAcentral describes it as "partial 16S ribosomal RNA". It matches the Rfam family "Bacterial small subunit ribosomal RNA", at positions 28 to 507 of the family's 1533-position model. The record is from RNAcentral.